Molecule: non-coding RNA, 87 nt
Filed under: Xenorhabdus budapestensis
Lineage: Bacteria; Pseudomonadati; Pseudomonadota; Gammaproteobacteria; Enterobacterales; Morganellaceae
Source: RNAcentral
UUCAAUGGCGGUUCAGGCAGGGGAGGCUUCGGCCUCGCCGGAACGAUCGUCCCCGGUACUGCGAACCCUGUCUGAAUCGCCACCAUC